GCGAGAACCAACGGGAAAGUGCGAAAACCUGACUGUUAAUCAGGAGGUCGCUGGUUCGAAUCCAGCCGCCCCA
This 73-nucleotide transfer RNA is filed under the name Gemmatimonadota bacterium. RNAcentral describes it as "Gemmatimonadetes bacterium (activated sludge metagenome) tRNA-Asn". The stretch from base 13 to 73 matches the Rfam family "tRNA". From Rfam's summary of the family: Transfer RNA (tRNA) molecules are approximately 80 nucleotides in length. Their secondary structure includes four short double-helical elements and three loops (D, anti-codon, and T loops). The record is from RNAcentral. Lineage: Bacteria; Pseudomonadati; Gemmatimonadota.